This 503-nucleotide ribosomal RNA is filed under the name uncultured bacterium. Its description in RNAcentral is "bacterial SSU rRNA". It matches the Rfam family "Bacterial small subunit ribosomal RNA", at positions 501 to 1006 of the family's 1533-position model. The record is from RNAcentral.
CUACGUGCCAGCAGCCGCGGUAAUACGGAAGGUCCAGGCGUUAUCCGGAUUUAUUGGGUUUAAAGGGUGCGUAGGCCGUUUGAUAAGCGUGCUGUGAAAUAUAGUGGCUCAACCUCUAUCGUGCAGCGCGAACUGUCGAACUUGAGUGCGUAGUAGGUAGGCGGAAUUCGUGGUGUAGCGGUGAAAUGCUUAGAUAUCACGAAGAACUCCGAUUGCGAAGGCAGCUUACCGUAACGUUACUGACGCUUAAGCACGAAGGUGCGGGUGUCGAACAGGAUUAGAUACCCUGGUAGUCCGCACAGUAAACGAUGGAUGCUCGCUGUCGGCCUUUUUGGUCAGUGGCUUAGCGAAAGCGUUAAGCAUCCCACCUGGGGAGUACGCCGGCAACGGUGAAACUCAAAGGAAUUGACGGGGGCCCGCACAAGCGGAGGAACAUGUGGUUUAAUUCGAUGAUACGCGAGGAACCUUACCCGGGCUUGAACUGCAGCUGAACGAUUCAGAGA